GUGGGGAAUAUUGGACAAUGGGCGAAAGCCUGAUCCAGCCAUGCCGCGUGUGUGAAGAAGGUCUUCGGAUUGUAAAGCACUUUAAGUUGGGAGGAAGGGCAGUAAGUUAAUACCUUGCUGUUUUGACGUUACCGACAGAAUAAGCACCGGCUAACUUCGUGCCAGCAGCCGCGGUAAUACGAAGGGUGCAAGCGUUAAUCGGAAUUACUGGGCGUAAAGCGCGCGUAGGUGGUUUUGUAAGUUGGAGGUGAAAUCCCCGGGCUCAACCUGGGAACUGCCUCCAAAACUGCAUGACUAGAGUACGGUAGAGGGUAGUGGAAUUGCCUGUGUAGCGGUGAAAUGCGUAGAUAUAGGAAGGAACACCAGUGGCGAAGGCGACUACCUGGACUGAUACUGACACUGAGGUGCGAAAGCGUGGGGAGCAAACAGGAUUAGAAACCCGAGUAGUCC
RNAcentral lists this ribosomal RNA (450 nucleotides) under uncultured bacterium. RNAcentral describes it as "partial 16S ribosomal RNA". It matches the Rfam family "Bacterial small subunit ribosomal RNA", at positions 354 to 796 of the family's 1533-position model. The record is from RNAcentral.